UGGCAAAAUGGGUACAGGGGGANUCAGGC
This 29-nucleotide non-coding RNA is filed under the name Homo sapiens (human). Lineage: Eukaryota; Metazoa; Chordata; Mammalia; Primates; Hominidae. The record is from RNAcentral.